UUUUUGUAAGGAUGUGUAAAUGUGUGAAUCGAUCAAUAAGUAAUAUAACUUCUCUUGGUACCUGCUAUAUUCUAGGUCCUAGCCUGAGUCCUUCUUUGCUCAAUGAGGAGUCUAAAGACCUUCCAUGGCUUUGGAGUUAUAGGGUGAAAGGUUCACUCCACAGUCUAUCAAUUUUUAGCAGCAAUUCUCCAACCAUCAGUUAUGGGUGCUUUAGCCCCUAGUUCUAUUCCUUCAAGGUAAGUAUUAUAUUCUUAAUCCCAAGGAAAACAUCUUACAAGACAUCAUCAGAUGGUGAGUGUAUUUGUUUUAUGCUAUAAAUUAACUUCCCCUGUGUGGAAGACUGUACUAGAUGAUUGUAUUGGCCUCUAGGAGAGAAUAAACAACUUUCUUAUGUAGAGUUAAAUGGUAUUAGAGGAAGAUAAAACACAGAUUUAACUAAUACUUAAAGAACAAUCAUCAUCUCUUAGGUUUACAUUUUUCAAGUUAAUCAGUCCUAAAUCUUGAGACCUCCAGAGAUGUGACGCCUGUAUUAAUUUUUUCCCAUUAACUUCUUCCUAUCUUAGUCCCUUCUCUGCCCAGCAUAGGUUCGAUGGUCGUUACUUCAGACACUCUCUUGACAAUAUUCUCAACUUCCUUUUUGUGGUUUCUGGCUUCUUGCAUUCAGUGAAUCAUCCAAAAACUCCACCCCAACAACGACCAUACUUUAUCUCCCUGCAAAGAUAGAAGCCAUCAGACCAAUUUCUCUCUAAGCUUAGACAUAUCUCCAUCUAUCUGGGUUUAAAGCCCUGCUAUUCCCAAAAGCAGUAUCACUCCUCUGUGGCUGAUCUUCUUCUCUGUCUCAUUUCAUCGUAUCUGUUUAAGACCUCAUUCCCUCACACAUUCCUUCUUUUUCCUAAACUUCCACUUCUCCCUCUUUAAAGGACAGAGUGCACCAACAGAGUUCGGUAUGGGUUGAAUUGUGUCCCUGCCAAAAUCAUAUAUUGAAGUCCUAACUCUCAGUAUCUUAGAAUGUGACCAGAUUUGGAGAUGGGUAUCUUUAAAGAGGUAAUUAAGGUGAAAUGAGGUCAUUAGGGUGGGCACUAAUGAAAUACAUCUGCUCGCUUUAUCAUUAGAGGAAAUUAGGACACAGACACACACAGAGGGAAGACCAUGUGAAGACACAGGGAGAAGAUGAUCACCUGCAAGCCAAGGAGAGAGGUCUCAAAUGAAACAACCUUGCCAAUAAAUGUAACCUUGGACUUCUAGCCUCCAGAACUGUGAUAAAACAGAUUUCUAUUUUUUAAGCUGAGUCUGUGGUUCUUUGUAUGGAAGCCCGUACAAACUAAUAUGGAGUUCAUCAGCCCUUAUAGAAAGUUAAGUCUUUUCCAUCUUCAGAAAUUAUUCCAUCUUUUGAACCUACAUGCCUCUUUUUUCAAUC
Molecule: long non-coding RNA, 1417 nt
Filed under: Macaca nemestrina (pig-tailed macaque)
Lineage: Eukaryota; Metazoa; Chordata; Mammalia; Primates; Cercopithecidae
Description: lncRNA (ENSMNEG00000046140.1)
Source: RNAcentral